Molecule: long non-coding RNA, 2998 nt
Organism: Pipra filicauda (Wire-tailed manakin)
Lineage: Eukaryota; Metazoa; Chordata; Aves; Passeriformes; Pipridae
Exons: 2
Source: RefSeq, a predicted model, not a curated record
CAUUCUGUUCUCCUGAGCAGAGCCUGGACCCCUCUGGGGUCCACCAACUUCCAUUUCCCUCUUCAGAGGGUGACUACUCAAAGGAAGAUUCCCCUUCCUGCACUUAUAUCCUUUCUCCCUUCUGCCCCUCCAUAGUAUCUCAAUACAACAGGGCCUCCUAUGACAGCCAGAAUUAGAAAUGGCUGUUCCACUACUGUAAGAAGGAACCUGAUAGAGGACUCCCCCCAUUUAACCAAAAUAAUUCUGUCUCCUCUUUUAUUUUUCAAGAAGAAAGGCCUCUUUGCUUCAAACUCCUUCAAUUUCUCAAUCUCAUUUCCAAUCCGAAGUCAUAAACCUCCAUUUGUGACAUAACAAUUAAUUGUGGUUGAGAUAAUUAAGAUGUCACAAACAGACGACAACAACUUCAGGUAGGAAAUUAGUAGCAGGAGCAGAUGAUCUCUUAAGCAAGAAAGAUCCCACUGUCAUGCAAAUUGCUCUAGUGAUAAAGAAAGCAAUGGAAGAAAAAUGCUGAAUGGGAAAUAUGAAAUGAGCCAAAUAACCUCUCAACAGAAUGUUUUCUCAGUUUUCCAGAAGGUUUAUCAGUCUUUCAAGAUAUUUUAAAUGCUGUGGGGAGGAGGGAGAAUAAAAAGCUGGGGAGGGAGCACUAUUCAUCUGCAAGUUUGUAGGAAAGGAAGAUGGGAAGAGUUCUUCAGCCAGACUGCCUCAGGAGAGCUGGGCACACUUGUCAGGUGACACAUACUUUUGCUUUGUGACAUGAAAUUGAGAUUUCUAAACAAGAGAAUAAAAUAGUUGGGCACUACUAUACUAUGAGGUAUUUUUUUAUAAAGGCUAUAUAAAACCCUAGUAAAUAACAGAGUUUGUCUUGGAGAGACUUUUGAAAGUAAACUCAAAAGGUAAUGCUGCUUCCAGCACUUUGAUGCUUUAUCAAUGUCUAAAGCUGCCUGUAUUUUGUAGUAUAGAUAGAUAGAUAGAUAAGGGGGAAAUGUUAUUUUAUUGCAUUUGUUACUUAAAAGUUCUUAUCACAAUAUGUGUAGUUUAGAGAUCUGAGCAGAUAAGACAAAGCUGAUGCUGACAGUGAAGGAUGUGUGGCUCUUGGUUGGGGAAAAUGUUUCCUAUGGCCAAAGCAAAACCUAUGAGAGGACACAGGAAGCCCUCUGAAGUCCUCGAUAAUCCCUCCAAUUGGGAUUUCUCCUAGGAGCUUUGCAUCAGGUGCAAACCUGCUCAGCUGAGCCCCGCACACAGCCCAAUUUAUUUACAUAACUGACAAGGUAGAAAGUAUCAUACUGGGAGCAGGUUUCUGAAUUUGCAUGUUGGAAGUCUUGUUUCUGUGCCUAUCUUCUCUGUUCACUUGUGUAAUAUUUAACAGCAGUUUGAAGACUCCUUAUUUAUACAGCACAAGGAAGUGGAAAUCUCUUCUACAAUUGGCUUGCUCUUUGAUAAUGAUGUCAGUAUUUUCCCCUUGAUAAGAUUAAAAGUAUGUUUAAGGGACCAGCAUUCCCAGAGGCAUCCAUAUGCAUACAGGGAACUCAAAUGAAACGUGACAAAUGUACAGGAACCAGCCAUGUGGCAAUUGCACAUGAAUCCACCAUAAACACACCAUGCACAGUUUUAUGGUUUAAAGGCUCAUUUAAUUCCUUUUUCUAAUUUGCAUAUUAAAUAGCCACGUGUACAGGAAGAAAAAGAGUGAUGGGGUACUUCCCCCAGCUAUUGUUAAGCGCUCAGCCUAUGUUGGGGUGUUGAGUAAAUUAAGAAAACUCAUCACUGCAGUACUCUUCUGUCACUGACAGCAAGAGGCUCUCACAGGGGGUGACACAGAGAAGCAGCUCACUUUAGAGUAAGUCAUGAUAACUGUUUUCCAGCCCAGCAGCCAGAGAGAGCAGGCUCUGAGGCAGAGGACCCAGAAUGAGAUUACUCCCUCCACCUCUCAUUAUGCAUGGAAGUUUCCCCACUGACUUCAACAGAGCUGAGAUUUUAUCAUCAAUGUGUCUUUCUGUCACAAUGGGGGCACUGCUAUUCAGUUUACUACUGAGACAAUAUAAUAAAAGACCUUUCACUCUUGACUUAACAACUUGCCAAUGUGGGAAUGCACAGGUAUUUCAAUGCUCCAAAGCAUCCUAGUUUCCAUUCUAUUCAAAUUCUCACUUGACAACCAAGUGUGUGAGCCAUCUGAGAGCCUUUUUUGCCACUCAGAGUGUGAUCUGGAUAUUUUAUAUGCUAGCAACACUAAGUACUGACAUAUUGCACUUACUGUAAAGAAAAAAAAAACGCAACACAUAUCUCACCCCUGACAAAGUUUUAUGAGUCUGACACAGAUCUUCUGUAUAUCAACUUGACUCAAAAUAACUUUGUGAAGAUCAUUUUCAAGCUUCUAAAUAUAUAAAAAAUUAAUACAAUUACAGUUCACUGAAAAAUUAGCAUGAAAUACAUUCUGAAAGCUAAAAUCAUUCACGGCAAAGUAAUGUUCCAUUUAAUUACAAAGAUUAAUUCAGCCUUUAUGUACGUGUCUGGUCAUUUCAUUUUUCAUUGAAAACAGAUAAUUCAAGAGCCAUCUGGUAAAACUGCUGCAUAAAUAUCACUGCAUCUAACUAGGUCUUACGUAUAGAAAAACUAGGAAAAUGGAGUUAUGGAUCUUGGCAAAACACAGAAAAGUUCCAACACAGGGCUAAAGCCCAGUCCUACAGAUGUCAGUAAGAAGUGACCCACUGAUUUGAGUGAGAGAUAGACUGGGCUCACCUUAAUGAUGCAUAGUAUUUCCUUUGUGGAGCCACAUGAAAUCUCAGGGAUUUGCACAUUGUCAAAUACAAUCAAAAGUGAAGUGUCAAUUCAAACAUGAACACUUGGCCUGAAAUGGCAAUUUUUAACAGUACUUGAUCUACAGUGAACUGUCUGUAAUCCAUACUCCAGAAUAUAGAUAAUCAUUAAACUAUUUAUUUUUAAACCUUGGCUUUAACUGUCCUCUUUUAUUUGUAUGUCACAAUAAUAAAAUAAUAGAAACUGA